Molecule: ribosomal RNA, 456 nt
Filed under: uncultured organism
Description: partial 16S ribosomal RNA
Rfam family: Bacterial small subunit ribosomal RNA
Source: RNAcentral
ACGUACACUCCUGCGGGAGGCAGCAGUGGGGAAUAUUGGACAAUGGGCGCAAGCCUGAUCCAGCCAUGCCGCGUGAGUGAUGAAGGCCCUAGGGUUGUAAAGCUCUUUCACCGGAGAAGAUAAUGACGGUAUCCGGAGAAGAAGCCCCGGCUAACUUCGUGCCAGCAGCCGCGGUAAUACGAAGGGGGCUAGCGUUGUUCGGAAUUACUGGGCGUAAAGCGCACGUAGGCGGAUCGAUCAGUCAGGGGUGAAAUCCCAGGGCUCAACCCUGGAACUGCCUUUGAUACUGUCGAUCUGGAGUAUGGAAGAGGUGAGUGGAAUUCCGAGUGUAGAGGUGAAAUUCGUAGAUAUUCGGAGGAACACCAGUGGCGAAGGCGGCUCACUGGUCCAUUACUGACGCUGAGGUGCGAAAGCGUGGGGAGCAAACAGGAUUAGAAACCCUGGUAGUCCCAUGAU